Molecule: transfer RNA, 67 nt
Filed under: Meschia woodwardi
Lineage: Eukaryota; Metazoa; Arthropoda; Insecta; Hemiptera; Meschiidae
Description: tRNA-Asn
Source: RNAcentral
UUAAUUGAAGCCAAAGUUGAGGCCUUUCAUUGUUAAUGAAAUUAAUGGUGUUUAUAACCCAAUUAAA